RNAcentral lists this non-coding RNA (30 nucleotides) under Homo sapiens (human). The record is from RNAcentral. Lineage: Eukaryota; Metazoa; Chordata; Mammalia; Primates; Hominidae.
GGUCAAAGUAGUAAGACAUGGACAGGUAAA